AACAAAUGUUGUAGGUUUAUGUUGCAAUCAUGUUACUUAGGUCCAUUGUUACAUAUUUGAUUUUUUUUUCUUGGGAACACGGACAAUAAAAGGAGAAUUUAAUUAUUUUUUUUUUUAUGUCACAUGUGAAUGUCAUGUAUCAAUUUUAUAUCACACGUCUCAUGCUUGAACUUUCGCGUUUCGUGAUCUAUAUGCUUUGAAAGAUUUGCCAUUUUCCUUAAAAAAAAAAUGUUGGUUUAAUACUUUGACCCAUGCCCAAAAUAAAACUUUG
This 271-nucleotide long non-coding RNA is filed under the name Citrus sinensis (sweet orange). RNAcentral's name for it is "long non-coding RNA (CSIN_LNC000184)". The record is from RNAcentral. Lineage: Eukaryota; Viridiplantae; Streptophyta; Magnoliopsida; Sapindales; Rutaceae.